GUUUCCGUCGUCUAGACGGCCAAGGACACCCGCCUCUCAAGUGGGUAACACGGGUUCGAAUCCCGUCGGAAACGCCA
RNAcentral lists this transfer RNA (77 nucleotides) under Labilithrix sp. RNAcentral describes it as "tRNA-Glu". It matches the Rfam family "tRNA". Rfam says of the family: Transfer RNA (tRNA) molecules are approximately 80 nucleotides in length. Their secondary structure includes four short double-helical elements and three loops (D, anti-codon, and T loops). The record is from RNAcentral. Lineage: Bacteria; Pseudomonadati; Myxococcota; Polyangiales; Labilitrichaceae.